GAUGAACGCUGGCGGCGUGCCUAAUACAUGCAAGUCGAGCGAACAGAUGAGGAGCUUGCUCCUCUGACGUUAGCGGCGGACGGGUGAGUAACACGUGGAUAACCUACCUAUAAGACUGGGAUAACUUCGGGAAACCGGAGCUAAUACCGGAUAAUAUAUUGAACCGCAUGGUUCAAUAGUGAAAGACGGUUUUGCUGUCACUUAUAGAUGGAUCCGCGCCGCAUUAGCUAGUUGGUAAGGUAACGGCUUACCAAGGCAACGAUGCGUAGCCGACCUGAGAGGGUGAUCGGCCACACUGGAACUGAGACACGGUCCAGACUCCUACGGGAGGCAGCAGUAGGGAGUCUUCCGCAAUGGGCGAAAGCCUGACGGAGCAACGCCGCGUGAGUGAUGAAGUUCUUCGGAUCGUAAAACUCUGUUAUUAGGGAAGAACAAAUGUGUAAGUAACUAUGCACGUCUUGACGGUACCUAAUCAGAAAGCCACGGCUAACUACGUG
Molecule: ribosomal RNA, 497 nt
Filed under: uncultured bacterium
Lineage: Bacteria
Description: partial 16S ribosomal RNA
Rfam family: Bacterial small subunit ribosomal RNA
Source: RNAcentral